Molecule: ribosomal RNA, 429 nt
Filed under: Actinomycetes bacterium
Lineage: Bacteria; Bacillati; Actinomycetota; Actinomycetes
Description: Actinobacteria bacterium partial 16S ribosomal RNA
Rfam family: Bacterial small subunit ribosomal RNA
Source: RNAcentral
UAGGGAAUCUUCCGCAAUGGGCGAAAGCCUGACGGAGCAACGCCGCGUGAGUGAUGAAGGUCUUCGGAUCGUAAAACUCUGUUAUUAGGGAAGAACAAAUGUGUAAGUAACUAUGCACGUCUUGACGGUACCUAAUCAGAAAGCCACGGCUAACUACGUGCCAGCAGCCGCGGUAAUACGUAGGUGGCAAGCGUUAUCCGGAAUUAUUGGGCGUAAAGCGCGCGUAGGCGGUUUUUUAAGUCUGAUGUGAAAGCCCACGGCUCAACCGUGGAGGGUCAUUGGAAACUGGAAAACUUGAGUGCAGAAGGGGAAAGUGGAAUUCCAUGUGUAGCAGUGAAAUGCGCAGAAAUAUGGAGGAACACCAGUGGCGAAGGCGACUUUCUGGUCUGUAACUGACGCUGAUGUGCGAAAGCGUGGGGAUCAAACAGG